RNAcentral lists this transfer RNA (75 nucleotides) under bacterium. RNAcentral describes it as "tRNA-Asp". It matches the Rfam family "tRNA". From Rfam's summary of the family: Transfer RNA (tRNA) molecules are approximately 80 nucleotides in length. The record is from RNAcentral.
GGGCCGGUAGCUCAGCCCGGUUAGAGCGUCCGCCUGUCACGCGGAAGGUCACGGGUUCAAAUCCCGUCCGGCCCG